ACGGCAUAGCAGCAGCUGUAUUUGCCAGUACAGUUCGCCAGUACAGUUCGUAAUACUUAAUAGUGUUUUCGUGGUAGAAACACUGAGUCAUUAAGAACUGAAAAUACUUGCUUCAUACUCAAAAUUAAUAUUAUUUAUACUUUAUCUACUUCUAUGUAACACCAGUACUAUGCAGAUAUUUCGCAGAGUAUCUUGUCUGAGUGUUUUUAUGAUCCUGGUUCAUUUCCAUGACGUUUUCGUGGGAACCAGCUUGAUCCCUGAUCUCGACGAUCUCCAGAAGCCGCUGCUUUCUAAAUUGCUACGUGAUUGCCCAGAUGACCAUGGUCGGAAUGAUAAACCAAUUAUUGGAAUUUUAUCUCAGGAUAUCAACCAAAAACUGCGAUCAAUAUACGGCACAUACACCACGUCCACGAGAACGACGCCAUCCUUCAUUGCCGC
This is a long non-coding RNA of Paramacrobiotus metropolitanus, 438 nucleotides long. RefSeq lists it as uncharacterized. The record is from RefSeq and is a predicted model, not a curated record. The transcript is spliced from 3 exons. Lineage: Eukaryota; Metazoa; Tardigrada; Eutardigrada; Parachela; Macrobiotidae.